Molecule: unclassified non-coding RNA, 516 nt
Filed under: Hevea brasiliensis (rubber tree)
Lineage: Eukaryota; Viridiplantae; Streptophyta; Magnoliopsida; Malpighiales; Euphorbiaceae
Source: RNAcentral
CGGGUGGGUAUAUUGAACAAAGCAGGGUCUCAUAGCAUUAGCACUGCCGUUGGCUGAUUUCAUUAUUUUCAGAUGAUGUCGGCUGCUAAUCGAACUACUACAAUAUUAUUUCUAAAAUCUAAAAUAAUGUUUAUAUAAAACAAGAGCGAUAUUUGGAGAAAAAAAAUCACUUCACAUCAUCUUUCUGAGCAUUUGCCCCAUUUGUCAUGCAAAUGAAAUAUGAAAAUUUUCAAAUCAACCAACGUAAUCAUACUUUGGUCUCUCUCCCCCUAAUAAUUUCUUUAUAUAUUUGUUUUCGGUUUGCUUCCCUCUGUAACACGCCUGGUCACUGAGCGCAUUGUCACAAAUUCCUCAGCUGCGGACGGAUGUAUUCCAACCGUGCUGUCAAAUUGGGCCUUUGUCGCUCCACAUUUCAGUGCAACAGCAAUUCCCUGUAUAAUUUCAGGAGCAUCUGGCCCACACAUGGAAGCUCCAAGAACUUUAUCAUUCUCAGCAUCAACAACAAGCUUCAUCACU